CAGCAGCCACGGUAAUACAGAGGAUGCAAGCGUUAUCCGGAAUGAUUGGGCGUAAAGCGUGCGCAGGCGGUUAUAUAAGUCAGAUGUGAAAUCCCCGGGCUCAACCUGGGAACUGCAUUUGAGACUGUAUGGCUAGAGUGUGUCAGAGGGGGGUAGAAUUCCACGUGUAGCAGUGAAAUGCGUAGAUAUGUGGAGGAAUACCGAUGGCGAAGGCAGCCCCCUGGGAUAACACUGACGCUCAUGCACGAAAGCGUGGGGAGCAAACAGGACUAGAUACCCCCGUAGUCCCUGUCUCUUAUAC
This 301-nucleotide ribosomal RNA is filed under the name uncultured bacterium. RNAcentral's name for it is "partial 16S ribosomal RNA". It matches the Rfam family "Bacterial small subunit ribosomal RNA", at positions 509 to 807 of the family's 1533-position model. The record is from RNAcentral.